Capsicum annuum is the source of this 379-nucleotide long non-coding RNA. RefSeq lists it as uncharacterized. The transcript has 3 exons. The record is from RefSeq and is a predicted model, not a curated record. Lineage: Eukaryota; Viridiplantae; Streptophyta; Magnoliopsida; Solanales; Solanaceae.
UUUCAACUUCUAGGUUUUUCUCUCUUGUUCACUCUUGGCUAUGAAGUAACCCUAUCUUCCCACAAGGGUUCUUGGAAUUGGCCUUCCGCCCAAGAUAAAGGGAUUAAGCUAUUUAAGAGAUACAAAUUAAGAGGCUAAACUAACAAGGAAAUCAAGGCACAGGUACUUUAGCUCAUACACCCCACUCAUAGGAGCGUAGGCUAUUCCAUGCAUAUUGGUGAGGUCCAAGUUGAUUCGAGGAUUUCCGAGUCUAUUUUGAUAUGUUUUGGUAUUAUGCAGUAGGUUAAGAGUAGGGCGGGGAGAGGGGGUUUGUCCCGACCCUAACUAAGUCAAUGUAAAGUUACGGUAGUGUAUUGUUUUUAGACAUGGUGGCCCCAAC